AGGGGGGAGGCGGCUGGCGCGCCUGCGCGUUGGUGCGCGCCGCGCCGGCGGGUAUAUAAGCGCGGGGCCGGGGCGGCGGCGGGACAGCGCUUUGGUGGCCUGAGGCGGUGAGGAGGUGCCGGGCGUGCCGUGGUAACCGUAGUGCCGUGCCGUGCCGGCCGCGUGCGCGUGGGGACGAAGCCGCUGGAGCCCUUCUCUCCGUUUCGCCGCCGUCGCCCCCCUCCCCCUCGCUCGCCGCCGUCGCCAUGGUGAAGAUCGUGGGCAGCCUGUCAGAAUUUGAGACAGAACUGAAAUCUGCUGGCGAGAAGCUUGUAGUUGUUGAUUUCUCUGCUACCUGGUGUGGACCCUGCAAAAUGAUCAAACCUUUUUUCCAUAGUUUGUGUGAGAAGUUUGCUGAUGUGGUGUUCAUUGAAAUUGAUGUGGAUGAUGCUCAGGAUGUUGCUGCACACUGUGAUGUCAAGUGCAUGCCCACAUUCCAGUUCUACAAGAAUGGAAAGAAGCACUGAUCCCUGACCCUUGAGGAGUGACUUGAGAAACUGACAUGCUGACAACAGGUGGAGCAGCACUGAAGGGAAACCGUAUUUAGCAGAAGCCUGGCCAUGGCAUGGAGUCUCUCUGCUCUUCAUCUGAAACAGCUGUGUACUAAAGGACACCUGUGUACCCCAGGAGAGGAAAAGCAGAGGUGGUCCAGCAUGGUACCUAGAGAGGAGGAAGAAUGCAGGGUAGCUGGGGAAAGGUAUGAAGAUCCAUUCCCACCUGCAGCUGGCAAAUUUGGGACAGAUGCAAACUUUCAUAAGGUGGAAGUAAGUAAAUGAUUGACUAUAUUAACAUAAAAAGAAGAUUCAAGCAGCUAGAUAUCCAAAUGGCAUCACUUGGCCUCUGGGAAUUGAAACAUCUGGGAUGAGCUGGGGCUGAGUGCAACGGACGUAUGGAUAGGAGGACUCCAGGGGUCAAGGCAUUCCCAAAAGUCAUCCUGCCAUCCAGCUG
This is an RNA transcript of Rhea pennata, 987 nucleotides long. It is a transcript of the gene named thioredoxin, with no coding region annotated. Lineage: Eukaryota; Metazoa; Chordata; Aves; Rheiformes; Rheidae. The record is from RefSeq and is a predicted model, not a curated record. The transcript is spliced from 6 exons.